This 85-nucleotide transfer RNA is filed under the name Felis catus (domestic cat). It matches the Rfam family "tRNA". Rfam says of the family: Transfer RNA (tRNA) molecules are approximately 80 nucleotides in length. Their secondary structure includes four short double-helical elements and three loops (D, anti-codon, and T loops). Further hydrogen bonds mediate the characteristic L-shaped molecular structure. tRNAs have two regions of fundamental functional importance: the anti-codon, which is responsible for specific mRNA codon recognition, and the 3' end, to which the tRNAs corresponding amino acid is attached (by aminoacyl-tRNA synthetases). tRNAs cope with the degeneracy of the genetic code in two manners: having more than one tRNA (with a specific anti-codon) for a particular amino acid; and 'wobble' base-pairing, i.e. permitting non-standard base-pairing at the 3rd anti-codon position. The record is from Rfam by way of RNAcentral. Lineage: Eukaryota; Metazoa; Chordata; Mammalia; Carnivora; Felidae.
GCCUGGGUGGCUCAGUUGGUUAAGCAUCUGCCUUUGGCUCAGAUUAUGAUCUCACAGUUUGUGAGUUCGAGCCCCACAUCAGGCU